UACAGAGGCGGCAAGCGUUGUUCGGAAUUAUUGGGCGUAAAGAGCACGUAGGCGGCUGUGUAAGUCGGUUGUGAAAGCCUUCCGCUCAACGGAAGAACGGCAUCCGAUACUGCAUGGCUUGAGUGUGGGAGGGGAGAGUGGAACUUCUGGUGGAGCGGUGAAAUGCGUAGAUAUCAGAAGGAACACCGGCGGCGAAGGCGACUCUCUGGUCCAUAACUGACGCUGA
RNAcentral lists this ribosomal RNA (226 nucleotides) under uncultured bacterium. RNAcentral's name for it is "partial 16S ribosomal RNA". It matches the Rfam family "Bacterial small subunit ribosomal RNA", at positions 524 to 749 of the family's 1533-position model. The record is from RNAcentral.